This 402-nucleotide ribosomal RNA is filed under the name uncultured eukaryote. RNAcentral describes it as "SSU rRNA". It matches the Rfam family "Eukaryotic small subunit ribosomal RNA", at positions 82 to 482 of the family's 1831-position model. The record is from RNAcentral.
CGAAACCGCGAAUGGCUCAUUAAAUCAGUUAUGGUUCACUAGAUCGUACAGUUUACAUGGAUAACUGUGGUAAUUCUAGAGCUAAUGCAUGCACCCAGUCCGUUCCCUCGUGGAGCGGAUGCAGUUAUUUGCCCAAAACCAAUCCGGCCUUCGGGUCGGUCAAUUGGUGACUCUGAAUAACCGAAGCGGAGCGCAUGGUCUCGUACCGGCGCCAGAUCUUUCAAGUGUCUGACUUAUCAGCUUGUUGUUAGGUUAUGUUCCUAACAAGGCAUCAACGGGUAACGGAGUGUCAGGGCCCGACACCGGAGAGGGAGCCUGAGAAACGGUUACCACAUCCAAGGAAGGCAGCAGGCGCGCAAAUUACCCACUCCCGGCACGGGGAGGUAGUGACGAAAAAUAACG